This 253-nucleotide ribosomal RNA is filed under the name uncultured bacterium. RNAcentral's name for it is "partial 16S ribosomal RNA". It matches the Rfam family "Bacterial small subunit ribosomal RNA", at positions 524 to 776 of the family's 1533-position model. The record is from RNAcentral.
UACGUAGGGUCCGAGCGUUGUCCGGAAUUACUGGGCGUAAAGGGCGCGUAGGCGGCCUGCUAAGUCGGACGUGAAAUCCCUCGGCUCAACCGAGGAACUGCGUCCGAUACUGGUGGGCUUGAAUCCGGGAGAGGGAUGUGGAAUUCCAGGUGUAGCGGUGAAAUGCGUAGAUAUCGGGAGGAACACCCAUUGCGAAGGCAGCUCGCUGGGACGUUACUGACGCUGAGACGCGAAAGCGUGGGGAGCAAACAGG